Long non-coding RNA from Hippocampus zosterae (dwarf seahorse), 461 nucleotides. RefSeq lists it as uncharacterized. The transcript is spliced from 3 exons. NCBI's taxonomy places the organism in Eukaryota, Metazoa, Chordata, Actinopteri, Syngnathiformes, Syngnathidae. The record is from RefSeq and is a predicted model, not a curated record.
GACUUGACUUGACAGAUCGCCCACAAAUCGUUUCCCCGGCGACUUCCAGCGAUGACGGCAAAGAGGCUGUAUUGCUUCGCAUGGGCGACGCCGGGCACACGUCAGCGAUUCGUUGGAAUCGUCUCGUAAUGACGACGGCGAAAACGAUGAAUUGGAGAGCGAUUUGGAUCCCGAUAUGUCGGACGAAUACGUGCCUUCGGACAUAACGGAAAGCAGCUGAGAGUCCUCGCCAGAGCCGCUGAAACGAGGAGAUUGUCCAACCAGAAGCCAAAAGAUGACGACUCCUCGCUUUGGUGGUGGAAAGAAAGGUCGUGCAUCUGGACGUGGUGGGAAGAAUCGAUGUGGUGAUAAACUGGAUGGAAGCCAAAAACCAUCUUCUCCACAGCUGCACUUUAGUUCAUAGUUCAAUAGUUUUGUUGUGUGCAAAUAAAUUAUUUUGCUACAAAAAACAUUAUUUGUAA